This 254-nucleotide ribosomal RNA is filed under the name uncultured bacterium. RNAcentral's name for it is "partial 16S ribosomal RNA". It matches the Rfam family "Bacterial small subunit ribosomal RNA", at positions 524 to 776 of the family's 1533-position model. The record is from RNAcentral.
CACGUAGGGUGCGAGCGUUGUCCGGAUUUAUUGGGCUUAAAGAGCUCGUAGGCGGUUUGUCGCGUCGGCCGUGAAAACCUGCAGCUUAACUGUGGGCUUGCGGUCGAUACGGGCAUCACUGGAGUUCGGCAGGGGAGACUGGAAUUCCGGGUGUAGCGGUGAAAUGCGCAGAUAUCAGGAGGAACGCCGGUGGCGAAGGCGGGUCUCUGGGCCGAUACUGACGCUGAGGAGCGAAAGCGUGGGGAGCGAACAGG